Molecule: small nuclear RNA, 30 nt
Filed under: Cervus elaphus hippelaphus
Lineage: Eukaryota; Metazoa; Chordata; Mammalia; Artiodactyla; Cervidae
Source: RNAcentral
GUGCUCGCUUUGGCAGCACAUAUACUAAAA